AUUGAACGCUGGCGGCAUGCUUUACACAUGCAAGUCGAGCGGCAGCGCGGGGGCAACCCUGGCGGCGAGCGGCGAACGGGUGAGUAAUACAUCGGAACGUGUCCCGUAGUGGGGGAUAGCCCGGCGAAAGCCGGAUUAAUACCGCAUAUGCUCUACGGAGGAAAGUGGGGGACUCGCAAGGGCCUCACGCUAUGGGAGCGGCCGAUGUCCGAUUAGCUUGUUGGCGGGGUAANGGCCCACCAAGGCGACGAUCGGUAGCUGGUCUGAGAGGAUGAUCAGCCACACUGGGACUGAGACACGGCCCAGACUCCUACGGGAGGCAGCAGUGGGGAAUUUGGACAAUGGGGGAAACCCUGAUCCAGCCAUGCCGCGUGCGGGAAGAAGGCCU
RNAcentral lists this ribosomal RNA (388 nucleotides) under uncultured bacterium. RNAcentral's name for it is "bacterial SSU rRNA". It matches the Rfam family "Bacterial small subunit ribosomal RNA", at positions 28 to 417 of the family's 1533-position model. The record is from RNAcentral.